Long non-coding RNA from Vespula vulgaris, 911 nucleotides. RefSeq lists it as uncharacterized. The record is from RefSeq and is a predicted model, not a curated record. The transcript has 3 exons. Lineage: Eukaryota; Metazoa; Arthropoda; Insecta; Hymenoptera; Vespidae.
UGUGUUAAUUAUAUUUAUUAUUCUCAAUGUAUUUAUCGUGAAACAAAUACAUACCGAUGUCGUUCUAGUACGGAUCACUGUGCUCGCAUGGCACUAUCAAAAAAAAAAUAUACAUAUGAGAGAUUGAGAAGUGCGAGUUCACUACUAAUACUAUUUACUCUAACCUACACAAAAUCAAUUAUUAUGAACGCGUUAGAGGGAAAUAAUCAAACAAACUUAUACAAUGAUACGAUAGACGUAUAGCGAGGGCAGCGUUCCCCGCUCGAUUCGUAGUUUUGUUCAUACUUGUCGCUGAAGUCACGCACAUUUCGAGUGAAAGAUGAUGAGCAGCCUUAAUUGUUCGUGCAAUUAUAAAUGAGUCCAUCUUCCUAUUUAUAAAGUGAAAGGAGGAAUAUUAAAACAUUAUCAUUGUCUUCUUAAAUCAAAUUACCAAGUCAAUUUGCAACUGCAAUCCACAUUAUUUUCGAUCUACUGCGAAUUGAUUUAGUUUAUUUACAACGGGGACGUGUUUAGUACCAUCAUGGAACAUCUUAAGUAGUGAAUGAACAAAUUCAAAUUCUUCCAUUCUUAUUAUUCUGAGGACGAAGGAUCUGCAUUAGCCCGAGUUAUUGUUCAUAAUUUUUUCAUUUAAUCAUUGAAAAGUAUGACCUUUAGUAAUUCCCUUUUUGGAUUUGCUCACGAGUGGUACAUUUUCCAUGGUGUUUUUAUUAUUUUUCUAUUGUAUGUACCUAUUUUAGUUAGUAUUAUAUAUACCUAUUUUUGUUAACUAAGGAUAGGUUCUUUUUGUUUCAUCGAUAUGUUUCGUUUAAUUAACAGUACAUUUAUUUAAAACUUUCUUUGUACAUAUUUAUUCACAAUAUUAGUGGUGAAAUUAGAAAUUCAUUUAUAUGAUAUUAUCGAAAAAGGUACGU